This 824-nucleotide long non-coding RNA is filed under the name Fukomys damarensis (Damara mole-rat). Its description in RNAcentral is "lncRNA (ENSFDAG00000030622.1)". Lineage: Eukaryota; Metazoa; Chordata; Mammalia; Rodentia; Bathyergidae. The record is from RNAcentral.
GGGCGCUGGCCCGCCGUGACAGCCCCGCGCUCCAGACCCCAGCGAUCCCGGACCGCAGCCGCCACGUUUGAGGACACCGGGCUGCAAGGAGCCUUGCAGAGCAAAGGAAAGGUUUGGACAGAAACGCCCGAGAGCUGCGUGGAGUGACUGCCGACGUGCGUGGGCACUUUUCCGUGUUUCGUCCCAGAGUUCUUGAUCGUGCUCACCCGAAGCUCCCUGUGAAGCCCAGGUGCUGCGCAGGGCUGACCCCGUUAUCUACGCUAUGGUCGCACCCCCACCGCGCGGGGCAUCGUGGACGCGGGAAGAAAUCAAAGGGGAUUUUCUGCCGGGAGUCCUCCCGCGGUGCUGCUGUGCUUAUGCAGUUAGCGUGCCCCUGUUCUUUGCUUUCUGGUGACCAGCAAAAGCUAGUAUUCAUAUUCCGAAAUGUCCUCCUACCUUCCUUGGUCUCACCUUUCGUAGGAGUAGGGUGUGACAGCUCAGUGAAGUAAAAGGCCUCUGUACAAAGAGUUUGGGUGAGUAUUGGAACCCCAGCACAGGUCUGACCAAAGUCCUUUGACUACUGAAUAUCCAGGCUCUUCUGUUUUUCUCCAGGUGAACUUGAGCAAAUAGAAUGGGUUAGAAUACUACUCAGCCAUAAAGAGUGAGAAAGUAGAUUCAUUCAUAGUUAAGUGGGUACAUUUUGAGGAUAUACUUCUAAGUGAAAUAAAUAAGGCACACAUAUGUAAAUACCAAAUAGUAUCUCUGGUGUGAAAAACUAAAAUAGUACUCAAGAUCCAAAUGGGGCACUUAGCAAAUAGGAAGAAAAGGACCAAAGGUGUAGGGAC